Molecule: ribosomal RNA, 466 nt
Filed under: uncultured bacterium
Lineage: Bacteria
Description: bacterial SSU rRNA
Rfam family: Bacterial small subunit ribosomal RNA
Source: RNAcentral
AGAGUUUGAUCAUGGCUCAGAACGUACGCUGGCGGCACGCCUAAUACAUGCAAGUCGAACGAAGUAGCAAUACUUAGUGGCAGACGGGUGAGUAACAUGUGGGUAUCUUCCCUUUGGUGAGGAAUAACACGAGGAAACUUGUGCUAAUACCUCAUAAGUCUUUACAGAGAAAGCUUUAUGCGCCAUUGGAUGAGCCUGCACUUGAUUAGUUUGUUGGUGGGGUAAUGGCCUACCAAGACAAUGAUCAAUAGCUGAUUUGAGAGGAUGAUCAGCCACAUUGGGACUGAGACACGGCCCAAACUCCUACGGGAGGCAGCAGUAGGGAAUCUUGCACAAUGGAGGAAACUCUGAUGCAGCGAUGCCGCGUGAGUGAAGAAGGCCUUUGGGUUGUAAAGCUCUUUCGUCGGGGAAGAAAAUGACUGUACCCGAAUAAGAAGGUCCGGCUAACUUCGUGCCAGCAGCCGCG